RNAcentral lists this long non-coding RNA (1428 nucleotides) under Canis lupus familiaris (dog). Its description in RNAcentral is "lncRNA (ENSCAFG00040007119.1)". The record is from RNAcentral. Lineage: Eukaryota; Metazoa; Chordata; Mammalia; Carnivora; Canidae.
AUGCCUGCCCCCGGGUCCCCACCGUCCCCACCACGGCGGCUGCACCAGGUCAGGUCGGCGUCUGGCAGCUGCCAGGCUCCCCGGGGCCUGGCGGCAUCGCCACAUCCCGUGUGGGGCCCGGGGCGCUCACCCGCCUCGCCUACCCGCCUGCCCGACCCGCCGGGUGCCCAGAUGCAGGCUCGGCGUCCUCAGGGCUCCGCCGACGGCUGCCGGAGGGGCCGGGGUCCAGGACACGAGCUGAGCUCCGAGCGGCCGGCGGGCGCCCCGGGGGACUCCGGGAGGCGCGGAGGAAGGACCGCGGGCUGGCCCCGGCCCCAGCUGCCCUGCCGACCGCCGGGCUUCCCACCCCAGCAGGCCCGCCCUGCUCCCGGCGGGGUCGCAGCCGGCCCGGCCGCUCCUUCCCGGCCUGCCCGAGCCCCGCCGAGCCCCGCCGAGCCCCCCGCCCCGGGCCGGCAGGGCCCUGUUCCCCCGACCCCGGCGCGGGCGGGGCGCGCCCUCCGAGAGGCGGAAGUCGGGGAGCCCCGCAGCCCCGGCCGCGCGACCUCCCCCGGCCCGGCCCCGGCCCCGGCCCCGGCCCCCGCGGCCGCGCCCCACCCACACGCCGGGCAGCCCCGCGGGGAGGGGAGGCCGGGCCGCGGCGCCGGGCAGCGAGGGCGGGAGUCGCCGCGGAGCCGGGCCGGGGCGCGCACCGGGCGGGGGCGGGGGGCGGGGGGCGGGGGUCGGGGGUCGGGGCGGGCGGGGUCAGGGGUCACCCAGGCGGCGUCGGGGUCAGCACGGAGGGUCCCCUUCCUGGGCGGCGGCGGGGGGCCCCCGAAGACGGACGGAAGUACAGGGGGCGCCGCGGGGCGGGGUCAGGGGUCACGCGGGGUCGGGGGUCGGGGGUCGCCAGGAGGGCGGGGAUACGCCGCCACCUCCCUCCGCUCGCGGCCCCGGAACCCCGGCACCCCCGGCCCGGGCGCGCGCUUCCGCGGCGGGCGGGGCCCCAACGGGGCCGGGGAGCGCGGCUCAGGGCCGGGGCGGCGGCGGCGGAGCCGCGGCGAGCGUCGGGCCGGACGCGCCUCACCUCCGACCUGGGUCCGGCCGGGCGCGGAGCCCGCGGCGCCUCCGUCUCCGAGCUUCGCUUCAGCCGCGCUCACUUCCGGGUUUCGGGCGCCAUCUUGGGGGCCCCGCUCACUUCCGGUCAUGCCGCGGGGCGGGGCCUCCAGGGGGCGGGGCCUCCAGGGGGCGGGGCCCUGCCGCCUUCCUGCGGGGCUGGGACUCGGUGAGUCACGGGUUCGCAUCCCGCCCCCGCCCGUUUCUGUUGGGACCCCGGCAGGUGGCUUACCUGCGAGCCUGUUUCUUCCUCUGGCAAACGUGAAGAUGGAGUUGAAUCCGCCCCACCCCUGCGCUCUCGCACCUGACCUUUCGGCCACCGGGGUCCUCCCGUAA